UCUUCCGCAAUGGACGAAAGUCUGACGGAGCAACGCCGCGUGAGUGAUGCAGGUUUUCGGAUCGUAAAACUCUGUUGUUAGGGAAGAAAAAGUACCGUUCGAAUAGGGCGGCACCUUGACGGUACCUAACUAGCAAGCCACGGCCAACUACGUGCCAGCAGCCGCGGUACUACGUAGGUGGCAAGCGUUGCUCGGAAUUAUUGGGCGUAAAGCGCGCGCAGGCGGUUUCUUAAGUCUGAUGUGAAAGCCCCCGGCUCAACCGGGGAGGGUCAUUGGAAACUGGGGAACUUGAGUGCAGAAGAGGAGAGUGGAAUUCCACGUGUAGCGGUGAAAUGCGUAGAGAUGUGGAGGAACACCAGUGGCGAAGGCGACUCUCUGGUCUGUAACUGACGCUGAGGCGCGAAAGCGUGGGGAGCGAACAG
RNAcentral lists this ribosomal RNA (422 nucleotides) under uncultured bacterium. RNAcentral's name for it is "bacterial SSU rRNA". It matches the Rfam family "Bacterial small subunit ribosomal RNA", at positions 362 to 775 of the family's 1533-position model. The record is from RNAcentral.